RNAcentral lists this non-coding RNA (25 nucleotides) under Cricetulus griseus (Chinese hamster). Lineage: Eukaryota; Metazoa; Chordata; Mammalia; Rodentia; Cricetidae. The record is from RNAcentral.
UCACUUUUCAGGAGAUCCAAGGGGU